UACGUAGGGGGCAAGCGUUGUUCGGAAUUACUGGGCGUAAAGGGCGCGUAGGCGGUGCGGCAAGUCGGGAGUGAAAUCUCUGGGCUCAACCCAGAGGCUGCUUCCGAAACUGCUGUGCUUGAGUGUGGGAGAGGCGCGUGGAAUUGCAGGUGUAGCGGUGAAAUGCGUAGAUAUCUGCAGGAACACCCGUGGCGAAAGCGGCGCGCUGGACCACUACUGACGCUGAAGAACGAAAGCUAGGGGAGCAAACAGG
RNAcentral lists this ribosomal RNA (253 nucleotides) under uncultured bacterium. RNAcentral's name for it is "partial 16S ribosomal RNA". It matches the Rfam family "Bacterial small subunit ribosomal RNA", at positions 524 to 776 of the family's 1533-position model. The record is from RNAcentral.